AACAGGAUUAGAUACCCUGGUAGUCCACGCCGUAAACGAUGUCGACUUGGAGGCUGUUCCCUUGAGGAGUGGCUUCCGGAGCUAACGCGUUAAGUCGACCGCCUGGGGAGUACGGCCGCAAGGUUAAAACUCAAAUGAAUUGACGGGGGCCCGCACAAGCGGUGGAGCAUGUGGUUUAAUUCGAUGCAACGCGAAGAACCUUACCUACUCUUGACAUCCAGAGAAUUUAGCAGAGAUGCUUUAGUGCCUUCGGGAACUCUGAGACAGGUGCUGCAUGGCUGUCGUCAGCUCGUGUUGUGAAAUGUUGGGUUAAGUCCCGCAACGAGCGCAACCCUUAUCCUUUGUUGCCAGCACGUAAUGGUGGGAACUCAAAAGAGACUGCCGGUGAUAAACCGGAGGAAGGUGGGGAUGACGUCAAGUCAUCAUGGCCCUUACGAGUAGGGCUACACACGUGCUACAAUGGCGCAUACAAAGAGAAGCGACCUCGCGAGAGCAAGCGGACCUCAUAAAGUGCGUCGUAGUCCGGAUUGGAGUCUGCAACUCGACUCCAUGAAGUCGGAAUCGCUAGUAAUCGUAAAUCAGAAUGUUACGGUGAAUACGUUCCCGGGCCUUGUACACACCGCCCGUCACACCAUGGGAGUGGGUUGCAAAAGAAGUAGAUAGCUUAACCUUCGGGAGGGCGUUUACCACUUUGUGAUUCAUGACUGGGGUGAAGUCGUAACAAGGUAACCGUAGGGGAACCUGCGGCUGGAUCACCUCCUU
RNAcentral lists this ribosomal RNA (762 nucleotides) under uncultured bacterium. RNAcentral describes it as "bacterial SSU rRNA". It matches the Rfam family "Bacterial small subunit ribosomal RNA", at positions 771 to 1532 of the family's 1533-position model. The record is from RNAcentral.